RNA transcript from Morus notabilis, 1800 nucleotides. It is a transcript of the gene named transcription termination factor MTERF15, mitochondrial, with no coding region annotated. Lineage: Eukaryota; Viridiplantae; Streptophyta; Magnoliopsida; Rosales; Moraceae. The record is from RefSeq and is a predicted model, not a curated record. The transcript has 3 exons.
UCGUUUACAAUUUCGGGUUUUACUUUGAAUCCUUCCCACUUCAUCUCCGAAGCUUAAGAUUUGUUAAGUGUCGGGGACAAAUUGGCUCUCAACAAUCUGUAAGUUCAUUUUUCAGACUUGUCAAAUUUCAAAACUCAUGUCUAAAUUUCUCCACAAAACUGUUUUAUUUGGAAGUUGUUCUGUAAGAACUCAACCAGGAACUAGUAAUCUGGGUUUUCUUCGAAACCCAGAUUUUUUCUCUCUAAGAUGGUUCUCAAGCAGCUCAAAUCAACAAUCUCUUACAGUUUCUUAUCUCAUAAACUCACUUGGGUUUACUCCAGAAGCUGCUUUAUCAGCUUCCAAGUAUGUUAAUUUUAAGAGUCCUGAGAAACCAGACAAGCUCAUAAACUUGUUCAAAAAGUAUGGCUUCACUCAAAUCCAAAUCUCUAGCCUUCUCAAGAGAAAUCCUAUAGUGCUUAUAUUAGAUGCUGAGAAGACCGUUUUGCCCAAAUUGGAAUUUUUCGACGCCAAAGGUAUUUCAUGGCCUCAAUUUGCCAAAAGAUUAUCUCAAUUCUCUACUAUUUUGAGAAGCAGCUUAGACAAACAGAUAAUGCCAUCAUAUGAGUUCCUUAGGAAUUUUCUGCAGUCUGAAGAGAUGGCCAUUGCAGCUGUUGAAAGAUUUCCGGAUAUAUUGAGGGUAAAUCUUGAGAAAUGUUUGGGCCGUAACAUUGAUAUUCUGCAAGAACAUGGAGUUCCUAAAUCCAAUAUAGCGAAGCAGUUUCCGAUCCGGACUCAAGCUUUCACAUCAAGUCGGUUUCGAGAGGCUGUUGAGGAAGUGGUGGAAAUGGGGUUCGAUGCAAAGAGGGGUACUUUUGUUCACGCAGUUCUUGUACUUCUUGGUUUGAGCAAAUCAACUUGGGAAAGGAAGGUUAAUGCAUUUAAGAAGUGGGGUUGGUCUGAGGAAGAGGUUUUGAAAGCCUUUCAUAGCAAUCCUUCCUUCAUGACGCUAUCUGAAGAUAAGCUUAUGGCAUGUAUGGAUUUCUUCAUCAACCAAAUGGGUUGGAGGCCCUGCCUUUUGGCUAAAUACCCAACAAUCCUUAAACUGAGCUUGAAGAAGAGAGUAAUACCAAGAUGUUCUGUUUUUCAAUUUUUGUUGUCUGAAGGGUUGGUGGAGAAGGAGGUUAGCAUUACUGCGUUGUUGCUAGUUUCAGAAGAGAAGUUUAUGCAGAAGUUUGUGGUGCCGUAUGAGAAGAACUCUCCGAAGCUGUUGAAGUUGUACGAGGAAAAAGUGGAUCUUUCAGUGGACAAGAGAGUGAUAAAUGAUGAUAAGUGUUUAAGAUGAUGCUAGAAGGAUUUGGAGCAAAAGCAUGUUCUGGAAUCAUUUGCAGAAGUUUGGUUGUACGGAAAUAUCGCAACAAAUACACACAUGGAGAGAAGACCAAAGCUGCUGAUGAAAUUCUUCGAAUGGCUGAGUAUGUGGCUGCGGGAUUUCAGUCUUUUUCAGUAUAAACAGGGAACAAAAUGGAUGAGAAAUGGCAAGCUCCAGCAAGGGGAUCCCUCGAACUAAACGUUGAUGCUUCUGUUAUCCCAGCUGAAACUAGCAUUGGAGUUGGUUGACUGAUCCGAGAUUCUGAAGGUAGAGUGCCCGGCGCUUUCUCGAAACAGGUGGCUGGCUUGUUUACUCCUCUUAUGGCAGUGUGUAGCUCUGAGAGAAGGUCUUCUCUUUUGCCAAAGGCCUUCGUGUUUCCUUGAUCGAGAUAGAUUCAACGAAUGCAACACGUGCAGUCAAUGGCAAUCAUUGUUUUGUUGCGGAAGAUUCAU